UGUAGCUCAGUGGUUAGAGCAUUUCCCUAACAUGUGAGCAGCCCUGGGUUCUAUUCCCAGCA
RNAcentral lists this transfer RNA (62 nucleotides) under Cavia porcellus (domestic guinea pig). It matches the Rfam family "tRNA", at positions 6 to 65 of the family's 71-position model. Rfam says of the family: Transfer RNA (tRNA) molecules are approximately 80 nucleotides in length. Their secondary structure includes four short double-helical elements and three loops (D, anti-codon, and T loops). Further hydrogen bonds mediate the characteristic L-shaped molecular structure. tRNAs have two regions of fundamental functional importance: the anti-codon, which is responsible for specific mRNA codon recognition, and the 3' end, to which the tRNAs corresponding amino acid is attached (by aminoacyl-tRNA synthetases). tRNAs cope with the degeneracy of the genetic code in two manners: having more than one tRNA (with a specific anti-codon) for a particular amino acid; and 'wobble' base-pairing, i.e. permitting non-standard base-pairing at the 3rd anti-codon position. The record is from Rfam by way of RNAcentral. Lineage: Eukaryota; Metazoa; Chordata; Mammalia; Rodentia; Caviidae.